RNA transcript from Vigna unguiculata (cowpea), 1586 nucleotides. RefSeq lists it as uncharacterized. The record is from RefSeq and is a predicted model, not a curated record. Lineage: Eukaryota; Viridiplantae; Streptophyta; Magnoliopsida; Fabales; Fabaceae.
CUAUUACCAAAUUUCUAACACAAAGUUCUCCUUUUUCAUUUUUUCUUUUUGUAAUUUAAGAGAAAGAAAAACAAGAUCUCUCUCCCACUUCACCUUCUUCAACCUACUACCUACUUCUUUUGUGCAACUUGUCUCUAGAACAGCUCCUGAAUCUCACACUAAAAAGUAAGAGAGAGAGUGAGAGUGAGGGGACAACAUCCCACCAUUUGAGGCUGCCCCUAUUUUAGUCUCUACCCUCAAUCAUGCCAUCAGGUGCUAAGAAGAGGAAAGCUGCCAAGAAAAAGAAGGAAAAGGGAACGGAAAUUAACACCAACCCUUCAACUACCAACCUUCAAGGGAAUGAUGAGGUGAAGUCACAGGAUGAGAAGGGAAGUGAUGGUGGUGAGGGUGGUUCACCUUCACAUGGAGACCAUGAUCUUGCUUUCAAUGAAGAGGAGGAGGAGGAGAGAGACCCUUCAGCUGCUCAACCAUCUGAUGCUGCUACUUCCAAGGAUUUGGAAGCCAAGAUCGGUGAAACUGAGGGAGGAAAGGAAGGUGUUGUUGUUGUAGAGUGGGAUGAGAAAUCUGAGGAGAAUUCUGAGAGCAAAGAUGUGAGUGCAGGGCUCGUUGAGUCUGCCAAGGAAUCCCAUCAUGGGAAUGGAAAAUCUGAUAGUUCAAGUGAUGAAACCGGAACUGUGACAAGCUCAAAGGACGAGUCCCAUGAUUCGAUAAAUGAGACAGUUGCAUUCGGUGAGUUGGUUAAAUCGACGGAUUCUUUGCAUGCAAAAGUGUCGCCAGUUACUCAAAACGUACUGGCUGAGACUUCUGAUUCGGUUGCAGAACCUUCUAAUGAACCAGUUAAAUCAGUGGCAUCCGUACCUGAUGUUCAAACCAUUCAUAAUGAUAAUGCUUCAUUAGAGAAAUCAACUGGAUCUCAAGUCGAAGCAACCGACCUUGCUGUGAAGAAAAAUGAGGAUGAAGAGCAUCCAAUCACUGAUCAGAAUGUCAGAACACUAAGUUUGGAGGAACCUAAGCCAAGGGAAUUUGACAAUGAAGUAUCAGCAUCUGUGUCUCAUAGUCCUAUCCCUGAAUCUACUCUUGGUGCAGAACAUGUUAAAGAUUCUGAUGCUCCAGAGAGCUCUGAAAAUCAGGCUCUUGUAUCAUCAUCAGUCCCGCCUGUGAUGCAAAAGACUUCCUGGUUGAGUUGCUGUGGACUAUUUGAUGUUCUGUCUGGCUCCAACAGAUAAGUUGAGAGUGCAGAUCCUGUAGGUUUCAAGAAUGAAGACUGCCUCUUCACUUAGAAGAAUUGUUUGCAUGUUCUGUUUAAGAGAAAAUACAAGCACGGGGAUCUCAUCAGAUGGAUCAGACUUGUGAAAACUUAGGACUUCAUUGAUAAAUUUUUGUGAUAUUUUAAUGUAGAUGUGUUUAGAUUUUCCGAACAAUAAUGGGCACAGACCCAACUACAUAAUUCAUGAGGUUUAUCAUCCAAAGAUUGUUGUCGUAAGUAGUUGUGUUAGCAACAGUUCCAGCUUAAUAUACCCAAGUACUUGAAACUUUUCAAACUACAUUUUUGUAACUCUGCAAUUAUAUUAUUGUUCUUAGACUUA